UUUUAGAUAUUUUAAUAAAAAUUUUAUUUUGUGAAAAUAAAGAUGUUCGUCCAACUCUAAAAA
Molecule: transfer RNA, 63 nt
Filed under: Dermanyssus gallinae
Lineage: Eukaryota; Metazoa; Arthropoda; Arachnida; Mesostigmata; Dermanyssidae
Description: tRNA-His
Source: RNAcentral